Molecule: small RNA, 580 nt
Filed under: Drosophila pseudoobscura pseudoobscura
Lineage: Eukaryota; Metazoa; Arthropoda; Insecta; Diptera; Drosophilidae
Description: GA31261
Source: RNAcentral
UGGAGUUUGGAGCAUUUUCAACUCUAUCAUAACUCCAGAGCUCACCGAUUUCUAUAUAAACAAAUUGCGGAAAUUAAUGGGGACGAGCCGAUCAAUGGUAUGCAGUUUGAAAAAUGUGCUGGACGAGAAGCUCAUUUUAGAAUACAACUAAAAUGGUGCUUCGGGGAAGAGCUCGCUAAAAAAUUUUUAAGAGUUUUUGCAAUGUCCUGGAAUCGGCGGUGAAGAUGAAAAUACCCAACGAGCCAGCAGAAAAAGUGAUUCGGAAGGCAAUUCACAACAUUAAGAAAAGUAAUUUUCAGAAGAGCUCACGAGCCUAAAAAUACAAAGCUCUGGCCUCCUAAGAAAAUAAUUAAUAAUAGUUUUUCAUAAAUAAAGCUAACUGGAAAAAUAAAUGCAUGAUUUUUCGACAAAAAUCAUCGUUUAUUAAGUGCAUGAUUCGUCGGGAAAAAUCAUCACUUAUAAAAUGCUUGAAUUUCGGCAAAAAUCAUAGCUUAUUAAGUGCAUGAUUUUUUGGCUCCUAUCGCCCUCCUAUCUCUCUCUAACACACACGUAUCAUAGCCGGCUUUGCUUAGCGCAAAAC